RNAcentral lists this long non-coding RNA (229 nucleotides) under Elaeis guineensis (African oil palm). RNAcentral's name for it is "long non-coding RNA (EGUI_LNC079260)". The record is from RNAcentral. Lineage: Eukaryota; Viridiplantae; Streptophyta; Magnoliopsida; Arecales; Arecaceae.
AGUCCUGUGACUUCUCACAAAGACUACCCUGGCCAAGAUUUUGCUAAAUUGAAACAUGACUGUACACAGCUCCUAAACUGGAGUGGUCAAUCCCAUCUUGACACACGCACCGACAAGUCAAGUACUUGACUACACCCAGCAGCCUUCCGUCACUGAAUUAGAAAAUCAGGUAGUCCAGUGUCUAAGUACAGUGAGUUGCUUGCAAGUCACCGUGGCGGUCUCAGGUCGG